Balaenoptera musculus (blue whale) is the source of this 107-nucleotide small nuclear RNA. NCBI's taxonomy places the organism in Eukaryota, Metazoa, Chordata, Mammalia, Artiodactyla, Balaenopteridae. The record is from Ensembl.
GUUCUCGCUUCAGCAGCACAUAUACUAAAAUUGGAACGAUACAGAGAAGAUUAACAUGGCCCCUGCACAAGGAUGACAGGCAAACUCAUGAAGUGUUCCAUAUUUUU